RNAcentral lists this ribosomal RNA (253 nucleotides) under uncultured bacterium. Its description in RNAcentral is "partial 16S ribosomal RNA". It matches the Rfam family "Bacterial small subunit ribosomal RNA", at positions 524 to 776 of the family's 1533-position model. The record is from RNAcentral.
GACGUAGGGCGCGAGCGUUGUCCGGAUUUAUUGGGCGUAAAGAGCUCGUAGGCGGCUUGUUGCGUCGACUGUGAAAACCCGCGGCUUAACCGCGGGCUUGCAGUUGAUACGGGCAGGCUAGAGUUCGGUAGGGGAGACUGGAAUUCCUGGUGUAGCGGUGGAAUGCGCAGAUAUCAGGAGGAACACCGGUGGCGAAGGCGGGUCUCUGGGCCGUUACUGACGCUGAGGAGCGAAAGCGUGGGGAGCGAACAGG